RNAcentral lists this ribosomal RNA (468 nucleotides) under uncultured bacterium. Its description in RNAcentral is "partial 16S ribosomal RNA". It matches the Rfam family "Bacterial small subunit ribosomal RNA", at positions 28 to 507 of the family's 1533-position model. The record is from RNAcentral.
GACGAACGCUGGCGGCGUGCUUAACACAUGCAAGUCGAACGGAAAGGCCCUGCUUUUGUGGGGUGCUCGAGUGGCGAACGGGUGAGUAACACGUGAGUAACCUGCCCUUGACUUUGGGAUAACUUCAGGAAACUGGGGCUAAUACCGGAUAGGAGCUCCUGCUGCAUGGUGGGGGUUGGAAAGUUUCGGCGGUUGGGGAUGGACUCGCGGCUUAUCAGCUUGUUGGUGGGGUAGUGGCUUACCAAGGCUUUGACGGGUAGCCGGCCUGAGAGGGUGACCGGCCACAUUGGGACUGCGAUACGGCCCAGACUCCUACGGGAGGCAGCAGUGGGGAAUAUUGCACAAUGGGCGGAAGCCUGAUGCAGCCACGCCGCGUGCGGGAUGACGGCCUUCGGGUUGUAAACCGCUUUCGCCUGUGACGAAGCGUGAGUGACGGUAAUGGGUAAAGAAGCACCGGCUAACUACGUG